Molecule: non-coding RNA, 428 nt
Organism: Jatropha curcas
Lineage: Eukaryota; Viridiplantae; Streptophyta; Magnoliopsida; Malpighiales; Euphorbiaceae
Source: RefSeq, a predicted model, not a curated record
UUCAUCAACAUAUCAUCAAACAAACCCUAAUAUCUUUCUCGGGCUUAAAAAAUUAAGUAAUGGCAACCAAUUCUCUCAAAACUCUUUUGGUGACUCUGUUGGUCUGUGCACUAGUAAUGUCUCCGAUGAUGCCCAUUGAAGCAUCUCCUCUUAAUCAUCGUCGAGAGCUCCGUAGAUUACCACCAAAUUGUGACCCUGGCUAUUAUCUUGUAUGCAAGCCCAACAAUGAAUGCAAGUGUUGUGAAGAAGGCACGCCUCCUAGCAAUUGCUGAAAAUCAAAUUAUUAUGAAUAAAUGAGUAUUUCAAUAAGAAUAUAAAUUAGAAGACUGUCUCUCUUUAUAUAUUUAUUUAUAACUUGUAUGAGCUACUCAAAUAUGUUUAGCUAUCAUAUCUUAAUAAAAGAGUACCUCCCUUAAUAUAUUUAUUUA